CGAAUAUACCGGUUCUCGUUAGAUCACCGAAGUCAAGCAUCAUUGGGCGCGGUCAGUACUUGGGUGGGUGACCACCUGGGAACACUGCGUGCCGUU
This 96-nucleotide ribosomal RNA is filed under the name Caerostris darwini. Lineage: Eukaryota; Metazoa; Arthropoda; Arachnida; Araneae; Araneidae. The record is from RNAcentral.